CCCUUAGAUGUCCGGGGCUGCACGCGCGCUACACUGAAGGAAUCAGCGUGCUAAAACCAUUGUCGAAAGGCAUUGGUAAACCCAUUAAAAUCCUACGUGAUUGGGAUCGGGAAUUGCAAUUAUUUCCCUUGAACGAGGAAUUCCCAGUAAGUGUGGGUCAUAAGCUCGCGUUGAUUACGUCCCUGCCCUUUGUACACACCGCCCGUCGCUGCCCGGGACUGAGCCGUUUCGAGAAAAGCGGGGACUGCUGCUGUCGGGGCUUUCGGGCCUUGGCUUCGGUGGAAACCGCUGUAAUCGCAGUGGCUUGAACCGGGCAAAANUCGUAACA
RNAcentral lists this ribosomal RNA (328 nucleotides) under uncultured eukaryote. Its description in RNAcentral is "partial 18S ribosomal RNA". It matches the Rfam family "Eukaryotic small subunit ribosomal RNA", at positions 1470 to 1796 of the family's 1831-position model. The record is from RNAcentral.